GACGAACGCUGGCGGCGUGCUUAACACAUGCAAGUCGAACGGAAAGGCCUUUUCGGCGGUACUCGAGUGGCGAACGGGUGAGUAACACGUGGGUGAUCUGCCCUGCACUCUGGGAUAAGCCUGGGAAACUGGGUCUAAUACCGGAUAGGACCGCACUUUAGUGUGUGUGGUGGAAAGUUUUUUCGGUGUAGGAUGAGCCCGCGGCCUAUCAGCUUGUUGGUGGGGUAAUGGCCUACCAAGGCGGCGACGGGUAGCCGGACUGAGAGGUUGGUCGGCCACAUUGGGACUGAGAGACGGCCCAGACUCCGACGGGAGGCAGCAGUGGGGAAUAUUGCACAAUGGGCGCAAGCCUGAUGCAGCGACGCCGCGGGGGGGAUGACGGCCUUCGGGUUGUAAACUCCUUUCGCCAGGGACGAAGCGUUUUGUGACGGUACCUGGAGAAGAAGCACCGGCUAACUACGUG
Molecule: ribosomal RNA, 463 nt
Filed under: uncultured bacterium
Lineage: Bacteria
Description: partial 16S ribosomal RNA
Rfam family: Bacterial small subunit ribosomal RNA
Source: RNAcentral